RNAcentral lists this ribosomal RNA (253 nucleotides) under uncultured bacterium. RNAcentral's name for it is "partial 16S ribosomal RNA". It matches the Rfam family "Bacterial small subunit ribosomal RNA", at positions 524 to 776 of the family's 1533-position model. The record is from RNAcentral.
GACGAACCGUCCAAACGUUAUUCGGAAUCACUGGGCUUACAGAGUUCGUAGGCGGUCUGGAAAGUUGGGUGUGAAAUCCCUCGGCUCAACCGAGGAACUGCGCUUGAAACUACCAGACUCGAGGGAGAUAGAGGAAAGCGGAACUGAUGGUGGAGCGGUGAAAUGCGUUGAUAUCAUCAGGAACACCGGUGGCGAAGGCGGCUUUCUGGGUCUUACCUGACGCUGAGGAACGAAAGCCAGGGGAGCGAACAGG